CUUUAUUCAUCACGUGCUACAUGAAGAACGUUUAUAAUAGAUAUUCAGAGUAAUGCAAACUUUAGAUAAUAUUUUACAUGUGUAUAGGCUGUAAAAUACUUGUUGUGUCUUUUAUUUGAUCCUUACAUGGCUCUGUGAGGUAGGCAGUGCAAAGGUUAGUAUCCAUAUUUUACAGAUAAGGAUACUGAAGCUGAGGAAGACAAGUUGACAAUGAAGAGUCAAGCAAAUACAGCAGCCAGAGUGACAUCCAGGUCUUAUAACCCCAAGUCCAAGUGCUCUGUCUGAUACACAGUACUGCCUGUCCUCACCUGUCCUCAAGGAGUUUACAAUCUAAUAUAGGAUAUGUUAGAGUAGCAGAUAAUACCUUGCAAAAUCAAUAAUCAUUGUCAUACUUUGCUCAUGGAUGAGUUAGGUGUACUAGUAGACUCUGAGGGAGCCUUCCUAAUGUUUCUUUUUUUCUGAGGAGAAAGGUUAAUGAGAACACUCAGGAUGUAUUCACAUACCUUACAUCAAUAAUUCAAGGUAGGUCUAUAAGAAGAUGCACAAAAAAGGUUUGACGAGUUCCCAGGAAUAACUGAAGAAAUAAGAACUUAAUGAGAGGAGGCUUCAAAUUUGGUUUGAAAGUCCCUGUGAAGUCUCCCAUACAUAUAUAACUCUGAAUUUAUCCAAAUACAAAAUCUUUCUAAUUUAUCUAGCUUUAAUUUUGUUUUGUUUGUAUCUACAAAGUCUGUCUAAGCUUCAGUUUGGUACAGUGAUGGACCAGAUAAAAGUCUGGGAGAAAGGCUGAGAUUUUACCUGCAGACCUUCCUCCUUCCUUCCUCCCUUAACUGGAUGAAUAGAUUUCUACCUUUGAGAGAUUACUGGGGAUGGCCUGCCAUUCUCUUCCAUUUGGGUGACAAUUCAGGCUCUAGAGAGCAGAGAGAGGGAAAGAAAUAGGACUCUGAGGGACAACAUGUGACUUAGGGAAAAGAUUAGGGAGGGAGGUUCAAGGAAAAAGGUGGCAUCUGAAUUGGACUAUAAAGGGUGAAAGAAAAAGGUCUUCAAUAGAUGGAGAUGGGGAAGAUGGUAUGGACAAAAAUACACAGAGAUGGGGAUUGUCAGACAAAGAACAAGAGGUGAAGGGUUGUCCAGUUUCUCUAGAACAUAGAGCAAGGGAAGGACAAUAAAAUAAGAUCUGGCAGGUAGAUGGGAACCAGCUGGUGAGUGAACCUUGAAUGAUAUUGGGAGUUUAUAUUUUAUCCCGUCAAUAAUUCAUCUCAGCCAAACCUCUGGGGGAUAUAUUAUUGACCUCAAUAGACAAUGAUAAUGAUGAUGAUGUAUGUAUGUAUGUGUAUAUCGAGGGCAGCCUUAUACAUGACCACCAAGUUCCUUUCUAGGAAUAAAAGGCAAAAUGCAGAGAAUCUUGAUUUGGGGGGGUGGGAUCAGAAGGAAAGAAACAAGCAUUUAUAUAGUGCCUACCAUAUAUUAAGCACUGUUAGAUACUUUAUCAAUAUAGUGUCAUUUAAUCCUCACCAAACCCUGGAAGGUAAGUGCCAUUAUUAUCCCCAUUUUACAGAUGAAAAAACUGAGGCAAACAGAGUUGAAAUGACUUGUCCAGAUUCAUAGAAUUAGUAACCAAGGCAGGAAUCAAACUCAGGUGUUUCUGACUUCAGACUUAGCACUCUAUGCAUUGUUUCACUUACGUUCUGGUCCAUGCUCUGCUAUAUAUUAUUUACUAUUUAGUUUAUUAUAUUUACUAAUUAGCAUGCCUUUCCCCUUCUUUUUGGGAAGUUUUCUCAGCUGUAAAAAAAUGAGGGGCUCUUUGACUCCAGAGGAUGGACCACCAAACGUGCUUUCUACUUCUCCAUGAGGGGUAGCUAAUCCCACGGAGCCUCAUAUCUGUAGCCAGAGGUUGUUAGUUGAGCCUGGAGUGUCACUGGGCUGUUUUAGCGGGCCUCCUGUUCCUAUAACUUCAGCCUCUCCUACUUCUGUUAGGAGAGGUUACUGGCGUAGUCAUGUUUGCCUUCUCACCUAGGAGGGGGGAGUGGGAGAGAUGCCCUGGGGACAAGGGCCUUGGUUUCUCAUCCCAGGGCUGAGUCAGGCAGCUAAAAAAAGCCCCAAUAUGAUCUGUUCCCUUCCCUUCCCUCCAGAGGUCAACAUUAGCCUGGCUGCUUUCCCCAUGCCUUCCCUUUUGUAGAAAGAGCCUGGGGUGACAUCUGACAGACCAAUAAACAUUUGAGACUUUGGGGAGAGAGCCAGCCCAGGAGCAGCUGUUGGGAUUCUGUGUUGUCACUCCCCUGAACUCCACAACGAACAAGAGGGAUUCAAGAGAUUUUUCUUCUCCUUCCACUUCUAGCCUUCUUUAACCUAUUCCUCAAACCUUAAAUUAACUGGAAAUUUGAGGAGUGUCCUGGAAGGGGACCAGAGACUGGUAUUUCUUCCACAGCAAAGAGAAUAAACAAAACUAGAUCUGAAGUCAAAAAUCUUGAGUUCAAGUCUCACCUUUGUCAUUUCCUACCUAUGUUAGACAAGCAAGGAUUUUUCUUUAAAGCUCAGUGUCCUCCUCUGUAAAAUGAGGCGAGGCUAAAAUAGAAUGAUCUGUGAGGUCUCCUGCCAUGCAAGGACUGGGGUUGGAGGGAUAGGAGCGUUAACUUGCAAAAGAGAACGGAAACUAUAGCUGUCUUCAGAUAUGUGACAGAUUCGACUUGGUCUGCUUGGUCCUAGCAAGCAAAAUUAGGAACCAGGUCUAAAAAUUGCAGAGAGGAAGAUUUGGACUGGAUAUAAGGAAAUGCUUCCUGCCAAUUAAAACUGUCCAGAAGUAGAACGGGGUGCCCCAACAGAUAGGGAGUUUCCCACAACCGGCAUUCUUCAAGUCAACGCUGAAUGAGAGCCUGUCAGGGAUAUAACAGAGGGGAUUGCUGCUCAAAUGAAGGUUGCAUGGGAUGCUCUCUAGAGUCCCUUUUAAAUCUGGGAUUUUGUGAUUUCCUUCCAAAUCAAAAUUGUGUCAUAAGAAUCAUUUUCGACCUUCUGGAAAAUGGCCAGGGCUAUUCUACUGAUAUGAAAGCCAAACAGAGACAUAGCAGUGGGGGAUGGUAGGUGAUGGAGGGCUGGAAACAGCCCAGUGCUCUGAGUGGGACCUAGUGACAAAGGAAGGACAGGAGCAUAGUCUCCCUCUCUCACCUGGGAGCCAGGCUGAGCUAUCAAUGCAAAGGAGGGAAAGGAAGUUAAUUUAUCCACCUGUGGGUCUGCUGGCUAUAGCUCAGAGACCAAGAGCAAACAGGCCCCAGAAGAUGCUGAGAAGCCCCGUGAGGAUGAGGCUUGAGGAUCCCGGGUUCCAGGAAGCAGCCCCAUUACACAGGUCUGACUGGCAGCAGGACACCUUGGCAUUUUGUUUUAUUUGAAUUUCCUCCAUGCUAUCCUUGGUGCAGAUGGCCGCACAGGAUUUGUAGACCAGAGCUGGAGAAG
RNAcentral lists this long non-coding RNA (3444 nucleotides) under Sarcophilus harrisii (Tasmanian devil). RNAcentral's name for it is "lncRNA (ENSSHAG00000023522.1)". Lineage: Eukaryota; Metazoa; Chordata; Mammalia; Dasyuromorphia; Dasyuridae. The record is from RNAcentral.